Molecule: long non-coding RNA, 824 nt
Filed under: Sus scrofa (pig)
Lineage: Eukaryota; Metazoa; Chordata; Mammalia; Artiodactyla; Suidae
Description: lncRNA (ENSSSCG00030045090.1)
Source: RNAcentral
GUGCUUUUGUGAGCGAGGCCCGAUGGGGGCAAAGACAGAGGAAGCACCGCAGGCCUUCCCGCUGGCUGCCAUGGGGACAGCUGCAGGGAUUCUGGCGGGCAUGCUGAGAAGGGACUGCCAUGGCAGCCAAAGAACGUUCAGUGUCGACACUGACAGCUUUCAUCCCUUUAUUUAGUUCAUUUUAACUCAAUCUGAUCUGCCAGCUCCUCUUUUCCAUGAAAGAAGGGAAUGCCAACUUGGGUCUAGAGGGGGUACCGCUGAGCUGCACAGCGCGCGAGAAAAGAAAAGGACCACAUUUUUCAAGGGGCUGAUGUUCUGCGUUUCACUCAAGGUCACUUAGAAGCAUUGAGAGCUGCCAUCCUUGCCCAGUUUGCCACCUCCUUGGCCCUCGGGGAGGAGGCGAGCCUCUCAAGGGACCCAGUGGUUUGGUUGAAGUAAAUCCAAGUCACCAGAGGCCGGAUAUGACCCCAAAGGGAAGUUUCAUCAACUUUCAUUUCCAUUCACUCCUGGGCCACUGGCCUGCCGGGGAUACUGCUGAGCCGUCAGAAAUGAGUCAGGAAAACUUUGAAAAGUGUGGGUUUCCCCCGCAGAGCCCAGAACACCCCAGAGACGUCGCCAACACUAAGAUGGGCACAGGAGCAACCGUUCCAAGAUGGGAUGUGAUUCAGAAAUUGUCUCAAAGCACUGCUUUUCCAGUGAAAUCACUGACCUUGGACCGAAGCUGAGGCGAUACCUCCAGGCGUUUCCCCAAAAGCUCAGCCUCUCCUGGGGACCUCCUCUCGCUGGGCCAGGAAGCUCAUUCUCACAGGUUCCAUCUGGUCCAC